RNAcentral lists this ribosomal RNA (417 nucleotides) under uncultured soil bacterium. RNAcentral describes it as "bacterial SSU rRNA". It matches the Rfam family "Bacterial small subunit ribosomal RNA", at positions 26 to 440 of the family's 1533-position model. The record is from RNAcentral.
AGAUUGAACGCUGGCGGCAGGCCUAACACAUGCAAGUCGAGCGGUAGAGAGGUGCUUGCAUCUCUUGAGAGCGGCGGACGGGUGAGUAAUGCCUAGGAAUCUGCCUAGUGGUGGGGGAUAACGUUCGGAAACGGACGCCAAUACCGCAUACGUCCUACGGGAGAAGCGGGGGACCUUCGGGCCUCGCGCCAUUAGAUGAGCCUAGGUCGAUUAGCUAGUUGGUGAGGUAAUGGCUCACCAAGGCGACGAUCCGUAACUGGUCUGAGAGGAUGAUCAGUCACACGUGGAACUGAGACGACGGUCCAGACGUCCGUACGGGGGCAGCGAGGUAGGGAAUAGUUGGAACAAGUGGGACGAAAGCCUAGACUCAGCCAUCGCCGUCGUGUGGUACGAAGGUAACGGUUCGUUACGGUAUUA